RNAcentral lists this ribosomal RNA (136 nucleotides) under Triticum aestivum (bread wheat). RNAcentral describes it as "partial small subunit ribosomal RNA". The record is from RNAcentral. Lineage: Eukaryota; Viridiplantae; Streptophyta; Magnoliopsida; Poales; Poaceae.
UUCAGGUCCUCGUUUGAGGGCGUGGGUUCGAACCCCACUCCUGACAUUUUUAUUUUUGAUCUUUUCCUAUUUUUUAAAUUUAUAUUAUUUAUUUAUAUUCUUAUGUUAUUACUUUUACAGCCUUUUUUUCAAGUGA